This 466-nucleotide ribosomal RNA is filed under the name uncultured bacterium. RNAcentral describes it as "partial 16S ribosomal RNA". It matches the Rfam family "Bacterial small subunit ribosomal RNA", at positions 28 to 505 of the family's 1533-position model. The record is from RNAcentral.
GACGAACGCUGGCGGCGUGCUUAACACAUGCAAGUCGAACGGAAAGGCCCUGCUUUUGUGGGGUGCUCGAGUGGCGAACGGGUGAGUAACACGUGAGUAACCUGCCCUUGACUUUGGGAUAACUUCAGGAAACUGGGGCUAAUACCGGAUAGGAGCUCCUGCUGCAUGGUGGGGGUUGGAAAGUUUCGGCGGUUGGGGAUGGACUCGCGGCUUAUCAGCUUGUUGGUGGGGUAGUGGCUUACCAAGGCUUUGACGGGUAGCCGGCCUGAGAGGGUGACCGGCCACAUUGGGACUGGGAGACGGCCCAGACUCCUACGGGAGGCAGCAGUGGGGAAUAUUGCACAAUGGGCGGAAGCCUGAUGCAGCAACGCCGCGUGCGGGAUGACGGCCUUCGGGUUGUAAACCGCUUUCGCCUGUGACGAAGCGUGAGUGACGGUAAUGGGUAAAGAAGCACCGGCUAACUACG